UACGUAUGGUGCAAGCGUUAUCCGGAUUUACUGGGUGUAAAGGGAGCGUAGACGGCUGUGUAAGUCUGAAGUGAAAGCCCGGGGCUCAACCCCGGGACUGCUUUGGAAACUAUGCAGCUAGAGUGUCGGAGAGGUAAGUGGAAUUCCCAGUGUAGCGGUGAAAUGCGUAGAUAUUGGGAGGAACACCAGUGGCGAAGGCAGCUUACUGGACGAUGACUGACGUUGAGGCUCGAAAGCGUGGGGAGCAAACAGG
RNAcentral lists this ribosomal RNA (253 nucleotides) under Coprococcus comes ATCC 27758. RNAcentral describes it as "partial 16S ribosomal RNA". It matches the Rfam family "Bacterial small subunit ribosomal RNA", at positions 524 to 776 of the family's 1533-position model. Lineage: Bacteria; Bacillati; Bacillota; Clostridia; Lachnospirales; Lachnospiraceae. The record is from RNAcentral.